RNAcentral lists this long non-coding RNA (212 nucleotides) under Capsicum annuum. RNAcentral describes it as "long non-coding RNA (CANN_LNC004740)". Lineage: Eukaryota; Viridiplantae; Streptophyta; Magnoliopsida; Solanales; Solanaceae. The record is from RNAcentral.
CGAGGAUUCAAACAUCAUUCUACAAUAACAAUCACCAAAAAUAGGCUCAAAGUAGACCAAAAUAGAUACUAAACAGACCUAAAAUUAACUCAAAAAACAAGUACUCAACACAGGUUAUCAGAUGCUCAAAGAUUAAAAAUUUACAACUAGAAUAUCCAAAAAAAAAGAAGUACACCAAGUUAACAUCAUUAUACACUAACAAACACCAAAAC